GAUGAACGCUGGCGGCGUGCCUAAUACAUGCAAGUCGAACGCUGAAGGAGGAGCUUGCUCUUCUGGAUGAGUUGCGAACGGGUGAGUAACGCGUAGGUAACCUGCCUGGUAGCGGGGGAUAACUAUUGGAAACGAUAGCUAAUACCGCAUGACAACAGCUACUGCAUGAUAACUGUUUAAAAGGGGCAACUGCUCCAGUACGAGAUGGACCUGCGUUGUAUUAGCUAGUUGGUGGGGUAGGGGCUCACAAAGGCGACGAUACAUAGCCGACCUGAGAGGGUGACCGGCGAAAUAGGGACUGGGAAACGGGCGAGAGGGGAACGGGAGGCAGCAGUGGGGGAUAGUGGAACAUGGGCGGAAGCCGGAAGCAGCAAUGACGCGUGCGGGAUGACGGCCUUCGGGUUGUAAACCGCUUUCGCCUGUGACGAAGCGUGAGUGACGGUAAUGGGUAAAGAAGCAACGGCUAACUACGUG
RNAcentral lists this ribosomal RNA (474 nucleotides) under uncultured bacterium. Its description in RNAcentral is "partial 16S ribosomal RNA". It matches the Rfam family "Bacterial small subunit ribosomal RNA", at positions 28 to 507 of the family's 1533-position model. The record is from RNAcentral.